RNAcentral lists this ribosomal RNA (459 nucleotides) under uncultured bacterium. RNAcentral describes it as "partial 16S ribosomal RNA". It matches the Rfam family "Bacterial small subunit ribosomal RNA", at positions 338 to 795 of the family's 1533-position model. The record is from RNAcentral.
CCUACGGGUGGCAGCAGUGAGGAAUAUUGGUCAAUGGGCGAGAGCCUGAACCAGCCAAGUCGCGUGAGGGAGUACUGCCCUAUGGGUUGUAAACCUCUUUUGUCGGGGAGCAAAAUCCGGACGUUUCCGGCUGUGAGAGUACCCGAAGAAAAAGCAUCGGCUAACUCCGUGCCAGCAGCCGCGGUAAUACGGAGGAUGCGGGCGUUAUCCGGGUUUAUUGGGUUUAAAGGGUGCGUAGGCGGUUUGAUAAGUUAGAGGUGAAAUACCGGUGCUCAACACCGGAACUGCCUCUAAUACUGUUGAACUAGAGAGUAGGUGAGGUAGGCGGAAUGUAUGGUGUAGCGGUGAAAUGCUUAGAGAUCAUACAGAACACCGAUUGCGAAGGCAGCUUACCAAACUAUAUCUGACGUUGAGGCACGAAAGCGUGGGUAGCAAACAGGAUUAGAUACCCGGGUAGUC